Molecule: long non-coding RNA, 2212 nt
Organism: Antechinus flavipes (yellow-footed antechinus)
Lineage: Eukaryota; Metazoa; Chordata; Mammalia; Dasyuromorphia; Dasyuridae
Exons: 6
Source: RefSeq, a predicted model, not a curated record
UUCAGUUCCAAGGGGUGACAUUUGAACUCUGAGGUGAGAUAGUCCAUCACAUCUCACCCUCUAGGGUGUGGCUAAGAACCUGAAACUCUUCUGAACCAGAGACAUUCACACAUGCUGUUGGAAAACAUUUAGAAAACCUCCCGGCCAGAGAGAAAACUUACCUCAUUAGGAGGAGCUGAAAACAUGCACCAAAGAGCUGAUGAUAGCUCCAGGCAAGCUUGUCACCUUGUGGCUCUGAGGAUAUAAAGAUUCUUGAAAUGCCCUCAACAUGGAAGGAAUGCUAUAUUCCCUCCUCUUCACCUACCCAAAUUUUACCCAUCUUCUAAAAGCUUCAUCUUGAGAUUUGGUGUGAAUUGAUAUAGAAGGAAACAAGAAGAAGCAGUAGAACAAUUCCAUGAUGACCACAUUAACAUGAAGGAAAACAACUUGGAAAUAUUUCAGAACUCCUUUAAGGCCAACCUUGACUUCAGAAGGAUGAUGAUGGAGCAUGUCUCCUGCAUCUUUGUAGAGAGAGUUGCUGUUGCUGUGUACAAUAUUCUUCUGGUUCUGCUCACUUCACUCAGCAUCCUUUCAUCCAUUCCGGGGAUGGAGCCAAGAUGGCAGAGUGAAGCCAGGAAGCAGUUCAAGCUCUCUCAGUUUCCCUUGAGAACCAAAAGAAACCAAAUCUCUGAACAAAGUCUGGGACAACAAAACCUAAAAAAAGAUGGAAUGAAACAAUUUUCCAGCUCAAGGUUUUCAAUGACUGAGGGGGAUGACCUUGACUAUGGAAUCGGUGGAGAUGUGAAAAUUGCUUCCAGUUCUGGGCAGUGAUCCGAGCUGAAUGAGACAGCCCAGAGAGGUACUGACUAACCAAACUGGACAACCAAUGUUAAGACAGCUGGGUUGCACACAGAGAGGAGCAUGGUUUUGCUGCUUCCCAGGUGGCCAGACAAAAGGAUAUAAGGAGAAGGGCAAAGGGGAAGUAAGAAGAAUGUCCACUGUUUGCAGACCCUGUGAGAACUGUCACUAAACAGAAGUUACUAGGAGGCUUGGGGGCUAACUAAAGAUAACCAGUAGCAGAUUUUUCUCAGAGAUAUAAACUGGGGUGGGGAUGGAGGGAGGAAAGCAAACCAAAUAAAAUUUUGUUUAGGACAUUAUAAGAUUGAUGGAGUCUAGUUAAAAAAAGAGUCCUACUCAACCCUCUUCUGAGCAGAGAAUGAUACUCAAUGUGUGGGAAAUCCCUUGGCGACUCAUUUCGGUUUAAGAACUGUUUUAACAAUUACAUUUUGACAUUUUAACAAUAAUUGAUUAUUAGUGAUUUGAAGAAUAUUUUCAUGUAACUAUUAAUAUAUUGGAUUUCUGCUCUUGAGAACUGCCUAUUCAUAUCCUUUUGACCACAUCAAUUAGAGAAUGGCUUUUAUUCUUACAAGCAUGAAUCACUUCCUUUAUAUAUCUUAGAAAUGAGACCUUUGUCACAGAAAUUUUCAGCAAAGAUUGAAACUUUUUGGAUAAGAGAAAUGUGCCUAUGGAUAUUAUAAGGAGAAAAGAUAAUACUGUUAAUUGAAAAAAAACAAUGCUAUGUUACAAUAGAAUUGGCUAUGCUGUGAGGCACUAUACUAAUAUAUUUCAUCAAAGACUAGAUGACUAGUUGGAAAUGGAACUAUUUCUGCAUUGGGAAGAUGCAGAAUGAAUAACCUCUGAAUUUUUUUGUAAUUCUUAAAUACCAACGUACAUCGACUUCUACUUUGUGCUGGGAGAUCAGAAAUAAUACAUGAAAAAGAAGAGAAACACCUAGGAAGAAGCUCCGAAGCUCAUGGUGCUGUCGUCACAAGGAUAAAAGACUAGUAAGACUCUACAGCCAUCUACUGGCAAAAUUCAAGGGAUUUAUUUAUUUAGAUUCAUCAGUGCACUGUGGAAUAUGUGGAAGCCCUCCCCCCAAAAAAUAUAUUUACUAGUAAAAAGAUGAAGACAAAUCCAGGUCAGAAAGUGCUCUUCAGUCUUUGGCCAAUGCUGUCAUAUUUAACUGUUUUGAAGAAGAGUUAGGGACUAAAACUUAAGACCAUCGGAACUUUAUUUUGCUGCAUGACAAACAUGAGUUUUCCUUCUGAAGAAGCCUCAACAAUCAAAUUACAAUUGUAGCUUUCUGGAACCUGUUUAUGUACACAUAAACGCAUAUGUGUUUUGUAAACCCCCUGUUAAAUCUUCACUUUAAUAUUCAAUCUUUUCAAUUUCA